RNAcentral lists this ribosomal RNA (435 nucleotides) under Triticum aestivum (bread wheat). Its description in RNAcentral is "partial small subunit ribosomal RNA". Lineage: Eukaryota; Viridiplantae; Streptophyta; Magnoliopsida; Poales; Poaceae. The record is from RNAcentral.
AUGGGCUGCGCCGGAUCCACCCCUAAAUCUGACGAUAGCAGUAAGAAGCUGAAAAAACCAAAGCCUUGGAAGCACACUCAGUCAAUAACACCAGCACAACUCAAACAGAUGCGCGAAGAAUUCUGGGACACUACUCCUCACUAUGGUGGACAGAAAGAGAUCUGGGAUGCACUUCGGGCCGCUGCAGAAGCUGAUUUAGCACUUGCGCAAACCAUAGUAGACAGUGCUGGCAUCAUUGUCUCAAAUUCUGACAUGACACUCUGCUACGACGAAAGAGGUAAAAUUAUUAUUUUUCCUUGUAUCGCAUGCAUCUUCUCCACCGCCCUGUGCUUUCAGAACCAAAAUCAGUGGCUGGGAAACUCUGCUGCAGGUGCCAAAUACGAACUACCAAAGUACGUUCUGAGCGAGCCGACUAAUUUGAUCCGGGAGAAAUGA